RNAcentral lists this long non-coding RNA (443 nucleotides) under Phoenix dactylifera (date palm). RNAcentral's name for it is "long non-coding RNA (PDAC_LNC020901)". Lineage: Eukaryota; Viridiplantae; Streptophyta; Magnoliopsida; Arecales; Arecaceae. The record is from RNAcentral.
UAGAAGAGGAGUGAUCCUAUGUUGAUUUGUUAGACUGAGUUCUAAGACCUUGGCCAGGGCAGUAAUAUAAAGUGGAAAAAGAGUUUUCCACUAUCGAACUCAAGUCGAAUAAAUCUUGACAUAUGACAGACGAUGGGGUUUGACGAGUUGUCCAUGACCUCCGUUCUGUAGGGAUCCACGAUAGUAGGACUAUAUCACAUGUUAACUGCACCUAGAGGUUCAUCAUUCUAUUCUGCUGGGUAGCCACUACAUGCUGCUAGGUAUCACUGGUGGAUGGUGGGACUCAUAGGGAUUAUCUUGAUGAUCGAUAAACCCUAAUGAGUGGAGUUGGAAUCGUUCCAACCCAUUGAAAGGAGUUUUUAAUGAUAUUGAGAUAGAGAUCACAAUAUAUCUCACUACCAGUCAGAGUAGAACCUAUGGGGUCACACACACUAGAAGUAUUG